AGAUAUUGCUAGGGGUGCUGUAAAAGGCUGAGAGGGAUAAUAAGUCCUAACUCUAAUAACCUGAUUUGGUUAAUACCAGCGUAGGGAAGUAUAUUUUAAGUUGU
Clostridium perfringens str. 13 is the source of this 104-nucleotide regulatory RNA element. It matches the Rfam family "TPP riboswitch aptamer (THI element)". Rfam says of the family: Vitamin B(1) in its active form thiamin pyrophosphate (TPP) is an essential coenzyme that is synthesised by coupling of pyrimidine and thiazole moieties in bacteria. The record is from Rfam. NCBI's taxonomy places the organism in Bacteria, Bacillati, Bacillota, Clostridia, Eubacteriales, Clostridiaceae.